RNAcentral lists this ribosomal RNA (478 nucleotides) under uncultured bacterium. RNAcentral describes it as "partial 16S ribosomal RNA". It matches the Rfam family "Bacterial small subunit ribosomal RNA", at positions 28 to 507 of the family's 1533-position model. The record is from RNAcentral.
GAUGAACGCUCGCGGCAGGCCUAACACAUGCGAGUCGAGGGAGAAGCCCUUUCGGGGGCAGAAACCGGCGCACGGGUGCGUAACGCGUAUGCAACCUACCUUUCACAGGGGGAUAGCCCGAAGAAAUUUGGAUUAAUACCCCAUAAUAUUAUUGGAUGGCAUCAUUUGAUAAUUAAAACUGCGGUGGUGAAAGAUGGGCAUGCGUCCUAUUAGCUAGUUGGAGUGGUAACGGCACCCCAAGGCUACGAUAGGUAGGGGUCCUGAGAGGGAGAUCCCCCACACUGGUACUGAGACAGGGACCAGACUCCUACGGGAGGCAGCAGUGAGGAAUAUUGGUCAAUGGUCGGAAGACUGAACCAGCCAUGCCGCGUGCAGGAAGAAUGCCUUAUGGGUUGUAAACUGCUUUUAUAUGGGAAGAAUAAGGCGUACGUGUACGUUGAUGACGGUACCAUAUGAAUAAGCAUCGGCUAACUCCGUG